Molecule: long non-coding RNA, 605 nt
Organism: Aquila chrysaetos chrysaetos
Lineage: Eukaryota; Metazoa; Chordata; Aves; Accipitriformes; Accipitridae
Exons: 4
Source: RefSeq, a predicted model, not a curated record
GGGAUUAAGCCGAUUACCGGAGAGGAGCAGCUGGAGCAGCAGAGGAGCCCCCGGGGACUGAGUCGAUAAGCUCCUCGAGGACAAGCGGCUUUGCCUACGUGGCAGCAGCACCAUGGCUCGCCUUCAGCACGGAUGUGCUGGUCAGCCUGCUGCCCCAGCUGCCUCCCCCCAGCAGGAGAUAGCUCUGACGCCCGCCUCGGCUUCGCUUUGUUCAGUGUCCUGCCAUUCCUCGUACCACGACGCUGCUGCGGAGACCGCGGUUUGAAGGCGGUUUCAGCUGAGCUGUAGUUUUCCUUCCAUCCUGUAGCUGCAACUCUUACACUGAAUGCUGUUUCCAUCUGUUUCCCUCUGCUGCUUGACUUUACGUACCAGUGUUCCUUGGGCACAUGCAAGGCGUCUGUCAUCUCCUUAUUAAGUGGAAGACAACAAAACAAUCCAAAAUUCCCACUGGAAAGCCCAGCAGAACUGAUUUCAAGGCCCCCAGGGCAGCCACAGAGCUGGAGAUAGCUUACCAGCGGCGUGAGCUAAGACGUAAUGAGCUCACGAAGAGCGUUUGUCUUGGCUGUCACGGGCAUGCACCAGCUGACAGCGAGGGGACAAGCAAC